UUCCAUGGUANUGGCGAACGUACCUGGAAUUAGCCCAGCACCGAAUCCUGUAUCUUUGGUAUUAGGAAUUGUGGUGUAAAGGUUGUGUCUUUASUUGCUGAGAAUACUCCAAAUUCACUUGAUUGUGAUGUUGUCCAGAGAGGGUGUUAGACCCGUUGGGGUAUACAAAGUAAUUAUUGAUGCUUCCUAUGAGUCGGAUUGUUUGAGAAUGCAGUCCAAAUUUGGUGGUAAACUCCAUCUAAGGCUAAAUACUUGUGUGAGUCCGAUAGCAAACAAGUACCGUGAGGGAAAGUUGAAAAGAACUCUGAAGAGAGAGUUAAAUAGUACGUGAAAUCGCUUAGAGGUAAACGAGUGGAGCCGAAGGAGUUGUAUAGAAUUCAGUCGAUUAUGUUUUGUACGUAAAUUAACAACAUUUUUAUGGGAGUUGUUGGUAUACAUUUUACGGAAUGUGAUUGAUGCAUUUUCUAUAUAACUAAACUGCGACCAAUAGUGUUGAUUUUCUGUCGUAAUUGUGAAGGUGAUCAAUUUUUCGGAAUUGGUUUUAUAGCUAUUUACAUGGUUAAUACAAUGUAUUGUUAAACGCGGUUGGCUAAUUUUGAUAGUUUUUGAUUUGGAUUGCUUAUUUUUAGACUAUANAUAGACUAUUUUUAAGCAGUUUAAGUCUUUUAUUGUUGAAGGGUACAACYUAAAGU
This 692-nucleotide ribosomal RNA is filed under the name Bipalium kewense. RNAcentral describes it as "eukaryotic LSU rRNA". It matches the Rfam family "Eukaryotic large subunit ribosomal RNA", at positions 76 to 634 of the family's 3401-position model. The record is from RNAcentral. Lineage: Eukaryota; Metazoa; Platyhelminthes; Tricladida; Geoplanidae.